GGGUUAGGUAAAUGUUCCAUGAUAAUGGAUUAGGUAAAUAUUCCAUGAUAAUGGGUUAGGUAAAUGUUUCAUGAUAAUGGUUUAGGUAAAUGUUUCAUGAUAAGAAAUUCAUGUCUUUUGUAUUAAAGAAUUAAAUGGAUGAAAUAUGAAGUUUUAUUAAAAGAAAAAGGGGUGAAAAGAACAAAGUUUUGUCCAUCUUUGUUCAUCAUAGCUGAAAGUUAGAGAAGAGAAAGAAGAGGAGAAAGCUCUUGAGUAUUUGGUCAUUAGGAGGAGGAAAAUUGAAGGAAAUCCCCAACCAUAGUGGGCUUGGAGCUGUGAGGGAAUUCGGAGUGGCCACCCGUUCUGAAAGUUUGAUUUUCUUCUGGUGAACUGGACAUCCUUUUAAUUACGUUUGAGGUUUUGGGCUUUUAAAUGUAAUAAGGCCGCUUAUUUAUUUUUGAUGGUUUUUAUAUGUUUUAUUAAGAUAGAUAAUAUUUAUUUUAACUGUUGAAAUUGGAUAGCUUUAGGGCGCGUUUUCAAAAACAA
Molecule: long non-coding RNA, 525 nt
Organism: Gossypium arboreum
Lineage: Eukaryota; Viridiplantae; Streptophyta; Magnoliopsida; Malvales; Malvaceae
Exons: 2
Source: RefSeq, a predicted model, not a curated record